AGGAUUUCGGAGAAACGUGUGUGUCGCGAUCUUUAUCGCUCCACUUGGAAACAACACAAAGCCGUCUGAUCGAAGAAGAAAGCUGAAUGAACACCUGUGUAUCUCUGUUCCACCUGAGGGGCCAUGCAGGUCACGACUCCAACUCUGCCACAAUCCAGUUUUUGUGAAAUGCACCUUUUCCGAAUUGCCUGAAAAACCACCUCAUGUAACACAGUGCCCUCAGGUAAAGCCCUCCAGGCCCAGACGUCUGUCCUGGCCUUCCGUGGUCCUCUCGGAGCCCAGCACACAGGUGUCCCUGCUGGGCUCUUAAACAGGACAAUAGGCGCUGGAUCUGAAUGGGUUCAGACUUUACACACACAGACUUCGAGAGUCAUUCCCCACUGAGGACUCUUUACCUGGCAGACAACAACAAAAAAAGAAAAGAAAAUCCCCUGUAUUUACAUUAAAGGAGGGACCUGUGGUAUAGCUGGUCACCAAGCCGGUCUAGUGUGAUGGUUUAAGAGGGGUUUUGGGAAAGCUCAAUAAUAACAAAACUGGUUGUUGCAGGCGGUUCACACACAUCUGUUUGUGUGUUUUGGCAUUGAGUCUGAUUGAGAAGCAGGUCUGUUCAAAUGAAGUCAAAU
Paramisgurnus dabryanus is the source of this 623-nucleotide long non-coding RNA. RefSeq lists it as uncharacterized. The record is from RefSeq and is a predicted model, not a curated record. NCBI's taxonomy places the organism in Eukaryota, Metazoa, Chordata, Actinopteri, Cypriniformes, Cobitidae.